Molecule: long non-coding RNA, 399 nt
Organism: Carassius carassius (crucian carp)
Lineage: Eukaryota; Metazoa; Chordata; Actinopteri; Cypriniformes; Cyprinidae
Exons: 3
Source: RefSeq, a predicted model, not a curated record
CAAAAAUAUAAGUUACAAAAUGAACUUAAGUGUAUGCAUAAAUACAACGAAAGAAAAUAAGUCAUGACAACUACUAGUACAAUUAUGUUAAAAUUAAGUAAAUAUAGCAUAACAUUUUAAGUAUUUGACUGUGAGCCAUGUGAUAUGCUGUUUCCUGCCAAGGAGCCAUUUUGUGAAGCACAUGUGAAGACGGUGAGAAGAGACCAGCCCUGUGGAACAACGUAAAGAAGUUGUAAUUCUAUGCUUAACUGUCUGCCUCUCUGAGAAUCUCAUCAAGCACCAUCAGAUACUCAUGGGAAUAAGGAGAAACUGGAACUGCUCACACUUAAAAUCAUCACGAAAGGUGGCUCAACAGAUGAUCCAUUACAGACUGGGAUAGUGCUGGAAGGCAUAGAGGUG